This 447-nucleotide ribosomal RNA is filed under the name uncultured bacterium. Its description in RNAcentral is "partial 16S ribosomal RNA". It matches the Rfam family "Bacterial small subunit ribosomal RNA", at positions 329 to 793 of the family's 1533-position model. The record is from RNAcentral.
GCCCAGACUCCUACGGGAGGCAGCAGUGGGGAAUAUUGCGCAAUGGGGGGAACCCUGAUGCAGCGACGCCGCGUGGGUGAAGGAGCACCUCGGUGCGUAAAGCCCUAUCGGCAGGGAAGAAACAGACGGUACCUGCAGAAGAAGCCCCGGCUAACUACGUGCCAGCAGCCGCGGUAAUACGUAGGGGGCCAGCGUUAUCCGGAUUUACUGGGUGUAAAGGGAGCGUAGACGGCAGGGCAAGCCAGAAGUGAAAACGCAGAGCUUAACUUUGCGACUGCUUUUGGAACUGCCCAGCUAGAGUACAGGAGAGGUAAGUGGAAUUCCUAGUGUAGCGGUGAAAUGCGUAGAUAUUAGGAGGAACACCAGUGGCGAAGGCGGCUUACUGGACUGAGACUGACGUUGAGGCUCGAAAGCGUGGGGAGCAAACAGGAUUAGAUACCCGCGUAA